GGAUGCUGCUUAUUUUUCGCUGCAGCGAAAAGCACUUCUUAUCCCUCGUCGCACAUUUCUCUCUGUCUCUCUAAUGGCGGCUUCUUCUUCCUCCUUCCUCACCGCCGCAACAAAACCCUUAUCACAGUCCUUUCAAACCCUAGCUUCUCCCCCGUCCUCUCUCUCCUCUCCUCGCUCUCUCCCCGUUCCUCGCCGCCGCAGCGCCCUUCGCGUCGCCGCACGAAAAUGGGAGCCCUCGAAGGUGGUUCCUCAAGCCGAUAGAGUGCUUGUUCGACUCGAGCAGCUUCCGGAGAAAUCUUCUGGUGGAGGUCUGUGGCCGAA
This is a long non-coding RNA of Ananas comosus (pineapple), 321 nucleotides long. RefSeq lists it as uncharacterized. The transcript has 3 exons. The record is from RefSeq and is a predicted model, not a curated record. Lineage: Eukaryota; Viridiplantae; Streptophyta; Magnoliopsida; Poales; Bromeliaceae.